Molecule: long non-coding RNA, 716 nt
Organism: Lutra lutra (Eurasian river otter)
Lineage: Eukaryota; Metazoa; Chordata; Mammalia; Carnivora; Mustelidae
Exons: 5
Source: RefSeq, a predicted model, not a curated record
UGUGGAUUCUUAAUAUAUUUCUGGUAUAUUUCCUUCCACUCAGCUCCUCGAUCAAGUAACCACAACCACACAUGGUGUCUGGAAGGCCUGAAGAGCCUCCUCUUUUACUCACUGGCUGGUACAUGGCUCCUAUCCACACUCAAAAUAUUAUGGUGGAUAUCACCUGAAGCCAUGUGAAGCAACUGGCUUAGGCACUGUCAAGUUGCCCUUUUGAAGGAAUAUGGAAGUGUUGAGUAGAAGAGUAUCACUUCUCUUUAGUCUUUCUGACAUUAGGUGUGGCUUCCACAGACCAAACAGUGAUGCUGUAUUGGUCUGACAGAACCUUCAGUUGAGUGAUGUCUGUCUGAAAUGUCUCCAGAUGAUUUUUGUACUGUGAAAUAAAGCCAAACUCUGGAAACAAACAAACAAAAUGUCCUAGGAUUGCUUAUGGCUGUAGAGCCAUCAAGCAGCAGAUAAGAUGGAUGCCGAGUCCGCGCGUGGCGGGGUACUGCACAAUGUCAAGGAUGAGUGGGAUGAUUUUCGUGAUAGAAACUGAGAGGAUCAGAACUCCUAGGCACCAGGAGCUGGUGCUAAAGAUGAGUUAGACUGAGCCUUCUCCACAGAAGUGAGAGACAAGGACAUCUCAACAAGUGGCAAUCCUGUAAUGGACUGUAAUGGAAGUGUUCGGCUCGCGAGGGAAAGACCUCAUUCUUCAGAGGAAAUCAGAAAGGAGGACC